Molecule: ribosomal RNA, 774 nt
Filed under: uncultured Neocallimastigales
Lineage: Eukaryota; Fungi; Neocallimastigomycota; Neocallimastigomycetes; Neocallimastigales
Description: partial large subunit ribosomal RNA
Rfam family: Eukaryotic large subunit ribosomal RNA
Source: RNAcentral
UAUCUCUGUAGAGUCUGCAUAUCAAUAAGCGGAGGAAAAGAAACUAACUAGGAUUCCCUCAGUAACGGCGAGUGAGGCGGGAAGAGCUCAAAUUUGAAAUCUUCAAGGUUCUACCUUGACGAAUUGUAGUUUAAAGAAGUGUUUUCUGUUGGAGUUUCGGUAAAAGUUCUUUGGAAUAGGACAUCAUAGAGGGUGAGAAUCCCGUAUUUGACCAUUAUUCUCAGCUGUGUGAUACACUUUCAAAGAGUCGGAUUGUUUGGGGAUGCAGUCCAAAAUGGGUGGUAAAUUUCAUCUAAAGCUAAAUACUGGCGAGAGACCGAUAGCGAACAAGUACCGUGAGGGAAAGAUGAAAAGAACUUUGAAAAGAGAGUUAAACAGUACGUGAAAUUGUCAAAAGGGAAGCGUUUGACACCAGUGUUGUUUUCUCGAAAAUCAAUUAAAAAAGGCAGGAUUUUGUGUUGUAUUGACUUUAUCAGCUUUCUGCACUCUUUUCUUGUCUUUUUUAAUGCACUUUUCGUUUAACAAGUCAACAUCAAUUUCUUUUGUUGUAAAAGGGUCAUUGGAAGGUGGCUUUCUUUUCGGAGAAAGUGUUUAUAGCCUUAUGCCUCUACAAUCGGAGAGAUUGAGGUCUGCAGCGUAGAUCCUUCGGGGUUAGAUACAUUUGUGCUAAGUUAUAGCCUUUCAUAGACAACUUGUUGACUAUGAUCAGUCAUGUAGCUUACUCGCUUAUGCUAUUUUACCUACGCUUAGGAUGUUGAAGAUGUAGCACAUCAU